Long non-coding RNA from Hylaeus anthracinus, 722 nucleotides. RefSeq lists it as uncharacterized. Lineage: Eukaryota; Metazoa; Arthropoda; Insecta; Hymenoptera; Colletidae. The record is from RefSeq and is a predicted model, not a curated record. The transcript has 4 exons.
AAUGGUACAGGUAAUGAUACAUUCUUGGAUAAAAUAAAUGUAUCCUCUAUUUCUUCAUAAACUGGUAAAACACGUACUGAUGAUGCAGUUGAAAUAUUCCAUAAAAUUAAUACUCUAUCUCUUCCUGAGCUAUACAGAAAUAAGGAACAUUAUAUAUAAAUUCAAUAUGUUUAUUCAAAAAUAAAAAUAUAAAAAUUGUAUCAUAUUACCUCACUAAAGAAUUCCCAUCAGUGUGAAAAGAUAUGGAUGUAAUUUUACUGAAGUGCCCAGAAAGAGUAACUACUUCUUUACCAGAUGUAAUAUCCCAUCCAUGAAUUUUAAAAUCAUCGCCUGCAGCAAAGACAAGUUUUUUCUCAAUGUUCGGAUGGAAAGUUAAAAUACUGAAAUUAUAUCACAAGACAUGGUUAAGUCUUACUGGCACUUUGAAUAUUAUGAGUACAAGCGUGAUGUUGUAAGUCCCACAAUCUGACAGUACCAUCACUGCCUCCAGAAACCAUUAAAUUUGUCUCAUUACAAUGAGCAAUGUGAAAUACAGGACCUUUGCCUGCAUAUGCAUGGGGCAGUUUGAUCCAUCAAACAAACAAUGAUAUGCUACAUUUCCACAGUUUAAAAAGACCACUUUUGUGAUGUGUAAUUAUAUUUACAUCAUUACUGAACGCAUUAAAUGUAUUAAUCACAUCUUUCUCUUCAUCAUUAUCACUUUGUCCCACAUGAGAUACUAU